UUAUUAUUAUUAUUAUUAUUAUUAUUAUUAUUAGUGUUAGUGUUGUUAGGUCUACAAUUAAGUACCAGUGAUAUACUGGGGUUGAUAUUGUCGCUCAGGCUGCAUUGACUCCAUUAUCAUUUUAUCAAUAUCGUUCCUUGUUCUUCUUAUUACUGAUGCUGCAGUUGUUGUUGUUGUUAUCAUUACAAAGGCAGCGAGAUGAAGAAUCGUUAAUAUGUUGGACAUCAUACUUAACGGCAUUUUUUCUGGAUUUUUACGUUCCGAGUUCAAAUUCCACCACGGUCAACUAUACCCUUUUUUCUUCGCAGUUGAUAAGACAAAGAACCAGUCGAGUACUGGGGUCAGUGUAAAUGACUCAUCCUCUGCUUCUAAAACUGGUGGCCUUGUGCCAACAUUUGAGAGAAUUAUUGUUGUUUUCGUUGUUACAAGCAAAACGCGGCUUUCUGAUCGAGGUUUCUUUGGGUUUAUUCAACAUAUAUGCAUGUAUGUAUAGGUGUAUGCGUGCAUGCGUGUACGAUGUGUGUAUGUAUGUAUGCAUGUAUUCUCCUUGUCUAUAUAUAGGACUACAUACACUAACAUGUCUUUUGCUAACUUUUAAACAAAUAUUGAAACGUGAAAUUACAAGAUAUGAAAGAGAAACGAAAAAUGGGUGAAAUCAUUUUUAAACGUAAGGAAAAUUAAAAGUUAGUGAAAUAUUACAGUUCUCUGAUUUCGUCUUCUUGCAUAUAUCAACGAUUUGUCCGUUUGUUUAAAGUUAAAAUUGCUAUAAAAUAACAGCAAAAAUCAGCGGAAAUUGGACGAGUGACAAAGAAGCAAAAUACUGUUAAAGACACGGACAAGAAAAUGGAGUGGGGAUUACAAUGAGGAGGAGGUAUGGAGUGAGUUUUGAGCAAGAUGGCGUUGAAGAUUUUUAAUACAAACACUUUUAACAAAUUAUAUUAAAAUUAGAAUUUUUAAGAUUUUACUAUUAUUUUAAAUUUAACCAAAAGUUUUGGUGACAAAUUUCUAUAUACUUACUCUUUACAAUCAUCAAGUUUUCAACAGUUUUGUCUUUCAUCCGCAUCAAUAAGUGCUGCUAAAUAUUCCAUUUCGUUUUGUUGAGGAACAAUUGUAUUUGUUUAAUCGAAUUACUUUGAUGUAGUAUUUUCUUGUAUUUUGUGUUGGUAUUUCGACUGCUGUAUCAUGUAUGUGUAAUGUGAGCUAAAGAUCGGAUAGCCAGACUCGGUAAAGUGCCAGGCAAAAUGCGUUGCCAUAUCUAGUCAUGGCAUUUUAUAUUCUGAGAUCAAAUCCCACAGUGAUCAACUUCAUUUUUAUCCAUUCGGGGUCGAUAAAAUAAAGUACCGAUCAAGUACUGGAGUUGAUGAUAUCGUGUAAUCCACUUCCCUCAAAAUUUCUGUCCUCCUGCCAAAACUUGAAAAUGCAAGGCAGCGAGCUGGCAGAAGCGUUAGCACAUCGGCCAAAGAACUUAACGGUAUUUGUUAUCGAUCUUUUCAAUCCGAGUUCGGUUCCUCGCGAGGUCGGCUUCGCAUUUUAUCUUUUCAGAGUGGUCGAGAAACAAAAUGUAGUAGCCAAGUACCAGGGCAAUGUAAUCGACUACCUCCCAGUCCAAAUUUCAGACCUUGUGCCUAAAUUAGAAAAACAAUAGUAUUAUCAUUAUUAUUAUAAUUAUUAUUACCACUACUACUACUAGUACUACUACUGUAACUACUACUACUACUAUUGCUUCAAUUAUUACUAUUAUUAUUAGCAUUAUUUUAUAAUCACUGUCAUCAUUGUCAUUAAUAUUUCAAUAUUAAAUCCUACCCACCUUCCUAAUCUAGUUACAAAGCCGUCUCACUGAGUUGCGAAAAGAUGGAACAUACCCAGAUUGAUCAGCCAUACUGUUAGCAGCUAUUCUGGGUACCCAGGCCAUAUUAUGUCAAUAGUAAGACUGCGAGAGAUACGAAUCUCUAGUAGAAAGUUGUAUUAUAUAUAUAUAUAUGUAUGUA
Molecule: long non-coding RNA, 1988 nt
Filed under: Octopus vulgaris (common octopus)
Lineage: Eukaryota; Metazoa; Mollusca; Cephalopoda; Octopoda; Octopodidae
Source: RNAcentral